RNAcentral lists this ribosomal RNA (253 nucleotides) under uncultured bacterium. RNAcentral's name for it is "partial 16S ribosomal RNA". It matches the Rfam family "Bacterial small subunit ribosomal RNA", at positions 524 to 776 of the family's 1533-position model. The record is from RNAcentral.
UACGUAGGGUGCAAGCGUUGUCCGGAAUUAUUGGGCGUAAAGAGCUCGUAGGUGGCCUGUCGCGUCGGCUGUGAAAGCCCGGAGCUCAACUCCGGAACUGCCAUUGAAACUGUUUAGCUUGAGGAUGAGAGAGGUGAGUGGAAUUCCCAGUGUAGAGGUGAAAUUCGUAGAUAUUGGGAAGAACACCGGUGGCGAAGGCGGCUCACUGGCUCAUUACUGACGCUCAGGCGCGAUAGCGUGGGGAUCAAACAGG